CCUACGGGAGGCAGCAGCGAGUAAUAUUGGUCAAUGGACGCGAGCCUGAACCAGCCAACUAGCGUGAAGGAUGACUGCCCUACGGGUUGUACACUUCUUUUAUACAGGAAUAAAGUGAGGCACGUGUGCCUUUUUGUAUGUACUUUAUGACUAAGGAUCGGCUACCUCCGUGCCAGCAGCCGCGGUACUACGGAGGAUCCGAGCGUUAUCCGGAUUUAUGGGGUUUAAAGGGAGCGUAGAUGGGUUGUUAAGUCAGUUGUGAACGUUUGCGGCUCAACCGUAAAAUUGCAAUUGAUACUGGCAGUCUUGAGUACAGUUGAGGUAGGCGGAAUUCGUGGUGUAGCGGUGAAAUGCUUAGAUAUCACGAAGAACUCCGAUUGCGAAGGCAGCUUACUAAACUGCCACUGACAUUGAUGCUCGAAAGUGUGGGUAUCAAACAGGAUUAGAUACCCUUGUAGUC
This 460-nucleotide ribosomal RNA is filed under the name uncultured bacterium. RNAcentral describes it as "partial 16S ribosomal RNA". It matches the Rfam family "Bacterial small subunit ribosomal RNA", at positions 338 to 795 of the family's 1533-position model. The record is from RNAcentral.